CGGUAACGGAGCCGGGGCUCUGUGUGUAGGCAGCGGCGCCAGAGGAGGAGGAGCAGGAGGAUGCAGCUGCGACCGCGGCCCCAAGAGGGAGCCGCCGCUGCUCUGUGGCCACAGGGGCCGAGGGACGGGAAUCAGGCCUGGGGGUCGCGUCGUUGAGGGGACUAGGGACAGCAGUCCCACCAGAGACUAAGGCCUAGUACCCCAGGAGGGUCCGGGCCGCUGGGCAAGCGCCUGUCCCCCAUCGCCUCCCCUCGUCCCUCUACGUCGAUGGUGGUGAAGUUGGCGGCGCCACGGAGCGCAAGGCACCAAGCUGCCUCCCUUGCACCCAGCUCCUCUCUGGCCCCGGCUCUUGGACACCUGCGCCGCCGCCUUCUCUCGCCCGCCGAGCCCACCCCCGGCGGCGGGCGGGGGAGGGGCUCCCCCCCUGCAGGGGCUGCGUCGAGCAGGGCAACGACGGGGACCCUAGAAGAGUAGGGGAAGAAGACAAGAAUUGGGAGUUUUCUUCUGAUCAUGCUAUGCUGAGUUGGGCAGAGAGACCAUGGCAAGGUCACACAGCACAAGUUGAAGCCGAGAUUCAAACUCAUUCUGGUUCCAGAGCCUGUGAAGUGACUAUGGAAGACAUUCACGUGGAGAUGGAUACUCAUAUGAAUGUAGGUUGAGAUUGGA
Non-coding RNA from Saimiri boliviensis boliviensis (Bolivian squirrel monkey), 666 nucleotides. The record is from RefSeq and is a predicted model, not a curated record. NCBI's taxonomy places the organism in Eukaryota, Metazoa, Chordata, Mammalia, Primates, Cebidae.